This 477-nucleotide ribosomal RNA is filed under the name uncultured Comamonadaceae bacterium. RNAcentral describes it as "bacterial SSU rRNA". It matches the Rfam family "Bacterial small subunit ribosomal RNA", at positions 97 to 570 of the family's 1533-position model. Lineage: Bacteria; Pseudomonadati; Pseudomonadota; Betaproteobacteria; Burkholderiales; Comamonadaceae. The record is from RNAcentral.
GGCGAACGGGUGAGUAAUGCAUCGGAACGUGCCCAGUCGUGGGGGAUAACGCAGCGAAAGCUGUGCUAAUACCGCAUACGAUCUAUGGAUGAAAGCGGGGGACCUUCGGGCCUCGCGCGAUUGGAGCGGCCGAUGUUAGAUUAGGUAGUUGGUGGGGUAAAGGCUCACCAAGCCAACGAUCUAUAGCUGGUCUGAGAGGACGACCAGCCACACUGGAACUGAGACACGGUCCAGACUCCUACGGGAGGCAGCAGUGGGGAAUUUUGGACAAUGGGCGAAAGCCUGAUCCAGCAAUACCGCGUGCAGGAAGAAGGCCCUCGGGUUGUAAACUGCUUUUAUACGGAACGAAACGGCGCGCUCUAAUAAAGUGCGCUAAUGACGGUACCGUAAGAAUAAGCACCGGCUAACUACGUGCCAGCAGCCGCGGUAAUACGGAUGGUGCGAGCGUUAAUCGGAAUUACUGGGCGUAAAGCGCGC